RNAcentral lists this long non-coding RNA (734 nucleotides) under Nicotiana benthamiana. RNAcentral's name for it is "long non-coding RNA (NBEN_LNC010351)". Lineage: Eukaryota; Viridiplantae; Streptophyta; Magnoliopsida; Solanales; Solanaceae. The record is from RNAcentral.
AGCUGGUAACGAAAAAUCCCUCUUAAAAGAAGAAGCAACUAUGUUCAAUGGUUACUUCCUAAAAAAAACGACAAGCAACCCUAGAAGCUGCCGCAACAGCUAUAAAUACAAACAGAACACACUCACACGCAUCUCCAAAGCUUCGACACCUUUCUUCUUCAUACACCAAAAGCACAAAACAGACCCUUCAACCGAACUACCCGCUCCAGCGGUUGCUGCUUCGCCGGAAUGCCAAUCAGCCUCCCAGACGCACCCCUGAACUGCUUGAUUUUGUUUUCGAAGUCGAGUACUCUGGUUUAUAUAGAAAGGGUUGAGCCGAGGUCAGUCCGAGAUCACGUUCGUGGUUCUUUCUAAAAUCCCGCUGUUGUUUUCAUAUUUUGCUGAAAGAGAUUAAUUACUGAAGCAAGCUAUUAUCAUAAUUCUCAUAUAUCGAAGAAGCCUUCUCUAUCGAGGUCCAUUUCUAUCUCUCUUCUCUAGUCUCAUAAGAUCUCGGGGAAUUAGAUAGUUGAUGAUGUCUAAAUAUCAAAUUUAAGCAACCAAGGUGCUUAUUUAUGGCCUACUCUUUCUGAUUCGUGGCCUCUGUUUGUGGUCCUUAUUGUCACGUGAAGGAUUUAGUAUGCAAUUUCUUCUUCUAUUUAUUUUGCUUGUUUCGAUCGUUAUAUUUGAUAAUUUGUAUAGCUUUCAAAAUGUCCUGGUUUAGCUAACUUUCAAUGGUAUUGAAUCAUAUCAGCUUC